AUGGAACACAAGGCGUUGAAGUCGCAGAGCCCUCGGCCUGGACUUCGCGCACCAGCCGCGGACACGACGCCUCGGGCCCCGUGCCGCAAGACGUCCCACGCCCGGCUGUGCGCCGUGGCCGCUGCCCGCGCUCCGCCCGAGCCCGCCUCGGGCCCCGCGCCGCAAGACGUCCCACGCCCGGCUGUGCGCCGUGGCCGCUGCCCGCGCUCCGCCCGAGCCCGCACCAGGCCAUGGCCACCACACCACAAGACCCGGCCACCGCGCCGUCGGACGCGGCCACAGCACCAACUGCGCCGAGACGGUCCUCGCCGCCUCGGCCCUCUUCCGCCUCCGCUAACGGCUGACGACUCCAUGCCCGUGCGCUCGGCUGUAUCCAAAGUCAUGGUCGCGACCUCCUGCGUCGUGGCCUCGCCGCCUGCGUACACGCCGUGGCCGGUAGCGCCAGGCCGUGGCCGCGCUCCUCGCGCUUCGCCCGGCCUCGACUGGCCGCCGCCCGGCCGUGCCCGUGGCCGCCGUCGCGCCUGCGCCAACCGCCUGGGCUCCGCCUCCACCCCCUCGGGCGUCGUCCGCCAUGGAGCAGGGAUGGAGAACACCGGAUCAAAACAGGCUAAAGGUGAGAAUAGAGCAAUGCCUCUGUCGCGACGACGUUCGCCGCCGUCGCUUCAUCACCCAUCGCCGCCGUGGAGAAGGUGGUGUUCACGGCCGCCUCAACCGCGCCUCUGCCCGUUGACCCCGUCGCCUCUUGGCGGCUGCCCUCCUGAGGGGCAGCACGUCGGCCUCCCUCGGCUGCGCGGCCGUGGAUGCGAAUACGUCUGCCGCGCCUCUUCCCUCGCCGACCCCCGCGAGACCGCCGCCUUUGCCGAGGACAGGCGCACGUCGCCAGUCGCCACCUCGUGGCCCUUGGCCUCCCGUAGCCCAACUCGCCGGCGGCCUCGCCAUCGAGCAGCCGUGGGCGCCGUGCUGGGACUCGCGAGCGGCGUCGCGCCCGGGACGCUGCUCCCUGGCGGUUCCUCGGACGAGGACGAGCGCGGCGGGAGUUCCUCUCGCCGCCGGUGA
RNAcentral lists this ribosomal RNA (1056 nucleotides) under Triticum aestivum (bread wheat). RNAcentral describes it as "partial small subunit ribosomal RNA". Lineage: Eukaryota; Viridiplantae; Streptophyta; Magnoliopsida; Poales; Poaceae. The record is from RNAcentral.